Paramuricea clavata is the source of this 647-nucleotide non-coding RNA. NCBI's taxonomy places the organism in Eukaryota, Metazoa, Cnidaria, Anthozoa, Malacalcyonacea, Plexauridae. The record is from the annotation of a GenBank genome assembly.
UUACAAUAAUCUUUAAUCAACAUAAAUACCAGUUUCGAUAUACAUAUAUAGAUAGCUACAUAUACAUAAAAAUUACAAGAAUACAUUGAUUAAUAUAAGGAACAAACUAAUACUAUAGAGUAUAGUAAUAAUGAUAGCCUACUUUAAGUGAGUUUCAAAAAUUGUCAGAACAUAAUAUACCAGUCCAGUCGAUUGUCCACAAGAUAUCCAUGAUAUAGUAUAAUAGUAUAGAAAUACAAAAUAAUUUUAUGUAAAUUUACAUGAUAGGGUAUCAUCAUCUAUAACAUUAUAUAAAUAAGUUUAUAAAUAAUUUUAAUUUAAUUUUAUAAAUAAUGUUUGUAAAAUAAUUUUUUUAAAUUUAAUCAUCAUUGAUGAACACUUGAACUGUUGAACCUGCCUCGUCCCUCGUCGCUUCAGUUGGGAAUAGAGAUCAGUGGAAAAACAAUGGGAGCGCGGUGCUUAAUGGGAAUGCGAUAGAAUCUGGAGCCUCAAAUUAACGCGACCGCGCGUACGGAUAACGGAUGAGGGACUGUGGAAGAGUCAGCUGUUGAAUUCGUAUUAUGUUGCAAUGCUCGGACAGAGUUUUAAUUUAUAGCGUAAUUAAUCCACGUAGCCAGGAUGUAGCCUAAUAUAACUUUUAAUUUGCU